CCAAUAGCGUAUAUUAAAGUUGUUGUGGUUAAAAAGCUCGUAGUUGAACCUUGGGCCUGGCUGGCCGGUCCGCCUCACCGCGUGUACUGGUCCGGCCGGGUCUUUCCCUCUGUGGAACCCUAUGCCCUUCACUGGGUGUAGCGGGGAAACAGGACUUUUACUUUGAAAAAAUUAGAGUGCUCCAGGCAGGCCUAUGCUCGAAUACAUUAGCAUGGAAUAAUAGAAUAGGACGUGUGGUUCUAUUUUGUUGGUUUCUAGGACCGCCGUAAUGAUUAAUAGGGACAGUCGGGGGCAUCAGUAUUCAAUUGUCAGAGGUGAAAUUCUUGGAUUUAUUGAAGACUAACUACUGCGAAAGCAUUUGCCAAGGAUGUUUUCAUUAAUCAGGAACGAAAGUUAGGGGAUCGAAGACGAUCAGAUACCGUCGUAGUCUUAACCAUAAACUAUGCCGACUAGGGAUCGGACGAUGUUAUUUUUUAAUGACUCGUUUGGCACCUUACG
RNAcentral lists this ribosomal RNA (498 nucleotides) under uncultured Glomeromycotina. RNAcentral's name for it is "partial small subunit ribosomal RNA". It matches the Rfam family "Eukaryotic small subunit ribosomal RNA", at positions 591 to 1092 of the family's 1831-position model. The record is from RNAcentral. Lineage: Eukaryota; Fungi; Glomeromycota.